GGCUAGGUUGGGUAGUGGUCUGGGACAGGGCUAGGUUGGGUAAUGGUCUGGGACAGGGCUAGGUUGGGUAGUGGUCUGGGACAGGGCUAGGUUGGGUAGUGGUCUGGGACAGGGCUAGGUUGGGUAGUGGUCAGGAAGGGCUAGGUUGGGUAGUGGUCUGGGACAGGGCUAGGUUGGGUAGUGGUCUGGGACAGGGCUAGGUUGGGUAGUGGUCUGGGACAGGGUAGAGGGUAAUAUUACUACAGUUGAGUGCAGGCUUGUGUGUGUGUGGGGGGGGCUGUCAGGUUAGCCAGUGAUGGAUGGUCACUGAUGGUGGAAGGAGUACAAAGAUGCCUGUGUGGGUCUCAGUAAGAGGGGGCACCAGUGUGUUAGAGUCACUCAUAACCCCCCUCCCCCAAAUCUGUCCUACACAUACACACUCAC
Molecule: long non-coding RNA, 423 nt
Organism: Oncorhynchus tshawytscha (Chinook salmon)
Lineage: Eukaryota; Metazoa; Chordata; Actinopteri; Salmoniformes; Salmonidae
Source: Ensembl